This 577-nucleotide ribosomal RNA is filed under the name uncultured bacterium. Its description in RNAcentral is "bacterial SSU rRNA". It matches the Rfam family "Bacterial small subunit ribosomal RNA", at positions 338 to 909 of the family's 1533-position model. The record is from RNAcentral.
CCUACGGGAGGCAGCAGUGGGGAAUUUUGGACAAUGGGCGCAAGCCUGAUCCAGCAAUGCCGCGUGAGUGAAGAAGGCCUUCGGGUUGUAAAGCUCUUUUGUCAGGGAAGAAACGGAUGAGGCUAAUAUCCUUGUCUAAUGACGGUACCUGAAGAAUAAGCACCGGCUAACUACGUGCCAGCAGCCGCGGUAAUACGUAGGGUGCAAGCGUUAAUCGGAAUUACUGGGCGUAAAGCGUGCGCAGGCGGUUUUGUAAGUUUGUCGUGAAAUCCCCGGGCUCAACCUGGGAAUUGCGAUGAAGACUGCAAGGCUAGAAUCUGGCAGAGGGGGGUAGAAUUCCACGUGUAGCAGUGAAAUGCGUAGAGAUGUGGAGGAACACCGAUGGCGAAGGCAGCCCCCUGGGUCAAGAUUGACGCUCAUGCACGAAAGCGUGGGGAGCAAACAGGAUUAGAUACCCUGGUAGUCCACGCCCUAAACGAUGUCUACUAGUUGUCGGGUUUUAAUUAACUUGGUAACGCAGCUAACGCGUGAAGUAGACCGCCUGGGGAUACGGUCGCAAGAUUAAACUANAGAUGAG